RNAcentral lists this ribosomal RNA (497 nucleotides) under uncultured bacterium. RNAcentral describes it as "partial 16S ribosomal RNA". It matches the Rfam family "Bacterial small subunit ribosomal RNA", at positions 28 to 507 of the family's 1533-position model. The record is from RNAcentral.
GAUGAACGCUGGCGGCGUGCCUAAUACAUGCAAGUCGAGCGAACGGACGAGAAGCUUGCUUCUCUGAUGUUAGCGGCGGACGGGUGAGUAACACGUGGAUAACCUACCUAUAAGACUGGGAUAACUUCGUGAAACCGGAGCUAAUACCGGAUGAUAUUUUGAACCGCAUGGUUCAAAAGUGAAAGACGGUCUUGCUGUCACUUAUAGAUGGAUCCGCGCUGCAUUAGCUAGUUGGUAAGGUAACGGCUUACCAAGGCAACGAUGCAUAGCCGACCUGAGAGGGUGAUCGGCCACACUGGAACUGAGACACGGUCCAGACUCCUACGGGAGGCAGCAGAAGGGAAUCUUCCGCAAUGGGCGAAAGCCUGACGGAGCAACGCCGCGUGAGUGAUGAAGGUCUUCGGAUCGUAAAACUCUGUUAUUAGGGAAGAACAUAUGUGUAAGUAACUGUGCACAUCUUGACGGUACCUAAUCAGAAAGCCACGGCUAACUACGUG